RNAcentral lists this ribosomal RNA (330 nucleotides) under uncultured eukaryote. RNAcentral describes it as "partial 18S ribosomal RNA". It matches the Rfam family "Eukaryotic small subunit ribosomal RNA", at positions 1470 to 1796 of the family's 1831-position model. The record is from RNAcentral.
CCCUUAGAUGUUCUGGGCCGCACGCGCGCUACACUGACGCAUUCAACGAGUCUAAAACCUGGUCUGAUAGGGCUGGGUAAUCUUUUGAAUGUGCGCCGUGAUUGGGAUAAAUGAUUGUAAUUCUUCAUUUUCAACGAGGAAUGCCUAGUAAACGCAAGUCAUCAGCUUGCAUUGAUUACGUCCCUGCCCUUUGUACACACCGCCCGUCGCUCCUACCGAUUGAAUGAUCCGAUGAAUAUCAUGGACUGAGAGUGUUAGAGUUUUCGGACUUCUACACUUCUCGGGAAGUGAAGUGAAUCUUAUCAUUUAGAGGAAGGAGAAGUCGUAACA